AGAGUUUGAUCCUGGCUCAGGAUGAACGCUAGCUACAGGCUUAACACAUGCAAGUCGAGGGGCAGCAUGGUCUUAGCUUGCUAAGGCUGAUGGCGACCGGCGCACGGGUGAGUAACACGUAUCCAACCUGCCGUCUACUCUUGGCCAGCCUUCUGAAAGGAAGAUUAAUCCAGGAUGGGAUCAUGAGUUCACAUGUCCGCAUGAUUAAAGGUAUUUUCCGGUAGACGAUGGGGAUGCGUUCCAUUAGAUAGUAGGCGGGUAACGGCCACCUAGUCAACGAUGGAUAGGGGUUCUGACGAGGAAGGUCCCCCANAUUGGAACUGAGACACGGUCCAAACGUCCUACGGGAGCA
RNAcentral lists this ribosomal RNA (352 nucleotides) under uncultured bacterium. RNAcentral describes it as "bacterial SSU rRNA". It matches the Rfam family "Bacterial small subunit ribosomal RNA", at positions 8 to 350 of the family's 1533-position model. The record is from RNAcentral.